AUUGAACGCUGGCGGCAUGCCUUACACAUGCAAGUCGAACGGCAGCACGGGAGUAAUCCUGGUGGCGAGUGGCGAACGGGUGAGUAAUACAUCGGAACGUGCCCAGUAGUGGGGAUAGCCCGGCGAAAGCCGGAUUAAUACCGCAUACGACCUACGGGUGAAAGCGGGGGAUCGCAAGACCUCGCGCUAUCGGAGCGGCCGAUGUCAGAUUAGGUUGUUGGUGGGGUAAAGGCCACCAAGCCGACGAUCUGUAGCUGGUCUGAGAGGACGACCAGCCACACUGGGACUGAGACACGGCCCAGACUCCUACGGGAGGCAGCAGUGGGGAAUUUUGGACAAUGGGGCAACCCUGAUCCAGCCAUGCCGCGUGCGGGAAGAAGGCCUU
Molecule: ribosomal RNA, 385 nt
Filed under: uncultured bacterium
Lineage: Bacteria
Description: bacterial SSU rRNA
Rfam family: Bacterial small subunit ribosomal RNA
Source: RNAcentral